This 29-nucleotide small RNA is filed under the name Bombyx mori (domestic silkworm). Its description in RNAcentral is "ovarian small RNA-17477". The record is from RNAcentral. Lineage: Eukaryota; Metazoa; Arthropoda; Insecta; Lepidoptera; Bombycidae.
GGCUUCUAUUAGUUCUGUUCUAUCCUUGC